This 722-nucleotide ribosomal RNA is filed under the name Micrococcus sp. 10. Its description in RNAcentral is "bacterial SSU rRNA". It matches the Rfam family "Bacterial small subunit ribosomal RNA", at positions 143 to 877 of the family's 1533-position model. The record is from RNAcentral. Lineage: Bacteria; Bacillati; Actinomycetota; Actinomycetes; Micrococcales; Micrococcaceae.
AUAAGCCUGGGAAACUGGGUCUAAUACCGGAUAGGAGCGUCCACCGCAUGGUGGGUGUUGGAAAGAUUUAUCGGUUUUGGAUGGACUCGCGGCCUAUCAGCUUGUUGGUGAGGUAAUGGCUCACCAAGGCGACGACGGGUAGCCGGCCUGAGAGGGUGACCGGCCACACUGGGACUGAGACACGGCCCAGACUCCUACGGGAGGCAGCAGUGGGGAAUAUUGCACAAUGGGCGCAAGCCUGAUGCAGCGACGCCGCGUGAGGGAUGACGGCCUUCGGGUUGUAAACCUCUUUCAGUAGGGAAGAAGCGAAAGUGACGGUACCUGCAGAAGAAGCACCGGCUAACUACGUGCCAGCAGCCGCGGUAAUACGUAGGGUGCGAGCGUUAUCCGGAAUUAUUGGGCGUAAAGAGCUCGUAGGCGGUUUGUCGCGUCUGUCGUGAAAGUCCGGGGCUUAACCCCGGAUCUGCGGUGGGUACGGGCAGACUAGAGUGCAGUAGGGGAGACUGGAAUUCCUGGUGUAGCGGUGGAAUGCGCAGAUAUCAGGAGGAACACCGAUGGCGAAGGCAGGUCUCUGGGCUGUAACUGACGCUGAGGAGCGAAAGCAUGGGGAGCGAACAGGAUUAGAUACCCUGGUAGUCCAUGCCGUAAACGUUGGGCACUAGGUGUGGGGACCAUUCCACGGUUUCCGCGCCGCAGCUAACGCAUUAAGUGCCCCGCCUGGG